AUGACAAUAACAUCCAUUGUUGUGAUCACUACAUCACCUUCACCAUGUGAUACGUCGCCAUCGAGAGUGCCUACAUCAUCAGAUUUGACUGUAAGAGGUAAUGAUAAAGGUACCGAUGUUCCCCCUCCACAUGAGUAUGAUGAAUGUCUUGUCAAUUUAAAUGCACCAUGUUAUGAGAUACCCACUACUUUGAUCACAACACCUAUUUUAGAGGACUAUGUUGAUGAUUUGACUUUAUCAUGUGAUCAAACGACUGCAAUAACAACAAUUUUGAGUGCACCCAUUAAAUUAACUGUCGAUGAGAAAGAACCAUGUGAAUUAGUGAACAAAUCAAAUUUGGAUCAAAUACGUUUGGUUAUACAUGAAGACGUGUUAUCUAGAACCUUGCAUGCUAAUUCUGUGUAUUCUAUGAUGUUGAAUCUACCCAUGUCUUUGUCACAUGCGAGGAAUAGAAUAUCUGAAAUCACAUGUUCGAAAUCGCUUCAAAGUGUUUACGUCACUAAUUUUACGUUUAACUUGCUUGGAGAGUAUGGCGUAGACAAGGAAUUUUUUGUGCAUAGGAUUUGCAUCAUGAGUGAUGAUCAUGCUAGCGUAAAAGAAAGUUAA
RNAcentral lists this ribosomal RNA (606 nucleotides) under Triticum aestivum (bread wheat). RNAcentral's name for it is "partial small subunit ribosomal RNA". The record is from RNAcentral. Lineage: Eukaryota; Viridiplantae; Streptophyta; Magnoliopsida; Poales; Poaceae.